UACGUAGGGGCGAGCGUUGUCCGGAUUUAUCGGUGGCGUAAAGCGCGUGUAGGCGGCGGAAUAAGUCGGGUGUGAAAGCCCGGGGCUCAACCCCGGGAUGCCGCUCGAGACUGUUUGGCUUGAGGACGGAAGAGGGGCGUGGAAUUCCUGGUGUAGCGGUGAAAUGCGUAGAGAUCAGGAGGAACACCCGUGGCGAAGGCGGCGCCCUGGUCCGUUACUGACGCUGAGACGCGAAAGCGCGGGGAGCGAACGGG
This 254-nucleotide ribosomal RNA is filed under the name uncultured bacterium. RNAcentral describes it as "partial 16S ribosomal RNA". It matches the Rfam family "Bacterial small subunit ribosomal RNA", at positions 524 to 776 of the family's 1533-position model. The record is from RNAcentral.